UGGGGAAUUUUGGACAAUGGGCGAAAGCCUGAUCCAGCAAUGCCGCGUGUGUGAAGAAGGCCUUCGGGUUGUAAAGCACUUUUGUCCGGAAAGAAAUCCUUGGCUCUAAUACAGUCGGGGGAUGACGGUACCGGAAGAAUAAGCACCGGCUAACUACGUGCCAGCAGCCGCGGUAAUACGUAGGGUGCAAGCGUUAAUCGGAAUUACUGGGCGUAAAGCGUGCGCAGGCGGUUUGCUAAGACCGAUGUGAAAUCCCCGGGGCUCAGCCUGGGAACUGCAUUGGUGACUGGCAGGCUAGAGUAUGGCAGAGGGGGGUAGAAUUCCACGUGUAGCAGUGAAAUGCGUAGAGAUGUGGAGGAAUACCGAUGGCGAAGGCAGCCCCCUGGGCCAAUACUGACGCUCAUGCACGAAAAGCGUGGGGAGCAAAACAGGAUUAGAUACCCUGGUAGUCCCACGCCCUAAACGAUGUCAACUAGUUGUUGGGGAUUCAUUUCCUUAGUAACGUAGCUAACGCGUGAAG
RNAcentral lists this ribosomal RNA (520 nucleotides) under uncultured bacterium. RNAcentral's name for it is "partial 16S ribosomal RNA". It matches the Rfam family "Bacterial small subunit ribosomal RNA", at positions 355 to 864 of the family's 1533-position model. The record is from RNAcentral.